RNAcentral lists this ribosomal RNA (220 nucleotides) under uncultured Entrophospora. RNAcentral's name for it is "uncultured Claroideoglomus partial small subunit ribosomal RNA". It matches the Rfam family "Eukaryotic small subunit ribosomal RNA", at positions 591 to 811 of the family's 1831-position model. Lineage: Eukaryota; Fungi; Glomeromycota; Glomeromycetes; Entrophosporales; Entrophosporaceae. The record is from RNAcentral.
CCAAUAGCGUAUAUUAAAGUUGUUGCAGUUAAAAAGCUCGUAGUUGAAUUUCGGGAUUGACGCGACGGUCGUGCCUUAAGGGGCGUGAACUGUCGCCGUUGAUUUCUCACCUUCUGGAGAAGCUCGAUGUCCUUAAUUGGAUGUCUUGUGGAACCAGGACCUUUACCUUGAAAAAAUUAGAGUGUUUAAAGCAGGCAUUUUGCUCGAAUACAUUAGCAUG